ACAGUCACACAUUAGACUACCCGGUAGUCCUAGCCGUAAACGAUACUCGCUAGGUGUCGGCCACGGUGCGACCGUUGUCGGUGCCGUAGGGAAGCCGUGAAGCGAGCCACCUGGGAAGUACGGCCGCAAGGCUGAAACUUAAAGGAAUUGGCGGGGGAGCACAACAACGGGUGGAGCUUGCGGUUUAAUUGGAUUCAACGCCGGAAAUCUUACCGGGACCGACAGCAACAUGAAGGCCAGGCUGAAGACUUUGCCGGAUUAGCUG
RNAcentral lists this ribosomal RNA (265 nucleotides) under uncultured archaeon. Its description in RNAcentral is "partial 16S ribosomal RNA". It matches the Rfam family "Archaeal small subunit ribosomal RNA", at positions 719 to 982 of the family's 1478-position model. The record is from RNAcentral.